Molecule: unclassified non-coding RNA, 358 nt
Filed under: fungal sp.
Lineage: Eukaryota; Fungi
Description: partial internal transcribed spacer region
Rfam family: Eukaryotic small subunit ribosomal RNA (bases 1-46)
Source: RNAcentral
AAGUCGUAACAAGGUUUCCGUAGGUGAACCUGCGGAAGGAUCAUUAUCACGUUAUCCACGUUUAUCAACCAAUUGUGAACUGUUUGUUACCUUGGAGAAUAUGAGCUGGAUAGUUUCAUUUCAUUGUGUGAUUUUGAAUGGCUAUCUGUUUUAGAUGUUUCGACAUCUAUAAUAUGGCUUUAUUUUCUAAGUGUAUUAAAUCACACUUUUAAACUUCAUUAACCACUUGAACCUUUUAAUUUAUUCUUUGUUUGAACUGAUUUGUUUCUUACUCGAUUGGGGGAUAAAAACCCUAUUUGAGAAGAAAUUAUCAUACGAAAUAAAAGAACAACUCUUAGCAACGGAUAUCUUGGUUCUC